AUAUUUUUGAGACAGUCUCCCUAUGUACUCCGGGCUAGCCUUGAACUCACAGUGAUCCGCAUGCCUCAGCCUCCUGAGUGCUGAGAUCACAGGUGUGCGCAACCACGUCUGGCCCGUGUCUUCUUCUAAGCAUACUGUAUUGAUAUUUUAAUCCUUGUUUCCUUUGUUCUUCCGUUCGAAGGCAGUCCCUCCCCACCACGCACACAUCCUUGCCCCUUCAUUCUCUGUGAUCCUGUCUGUGAGGCUUAGUCCUGGUCUCCGCCCAGCCUGCCCAGCAAAUACGCACGGAUCUGCCCCCGACUGCCGCCCUUGCCUCAGAGAUCGAGGAGUCCUCAGGUUCAUGGACUCGCGUUCUUAGGCGCAGCCAGGAAGCACGCAGGGCGCUCAGGAGAGAACCCUCCAAGGGUCUGCCUCUGAGCCUCCCGAGAACCGCGUUGAGGGCCUGGAGCGGGAGCGGAUGCAGUAGGAAAACCUCGUUAUAAACGCACGCGCUCAGACGCGUGCCCCGAGCCCAAGGUCUAGCGCGCGUCACUGCGAGCCAAGCUAACGGAAGGUGGAAAACACCGGUCUACAUUUUGGCCCAUAAAGAGGUUGCAAGAAAGCGUGGAAGACACGAUUACAGAGUGAGACCCUGGAAACCAUCCCAAAAACCGCGACCCGAGCGGCGGGCAGAGCGAGGCCCAGGCCAGGAGUCUUCAAGGCGACGAGCGCUCUGGACACCAAGCAUCUCUCGGUGGAAUGAAAUAAUCAAAGAACUCGGUAUUUCACUCCAAGAAACCUCCCUCAGAGACAGGAACUGCGCAGCCUGGUCGGUGGGGACAGACAGGGUGGCCCGAGGGGUCCCCCUACAGUAACCAGGAAGAACAAAAUGACAUAUAGAGCUAGUCCGUACGGGGAUCGAACCCUCAAUCUUGGCGUUAUUAGUACCACGCUCUAACCCACUGAACUAACCGGCCACCUUAACGAGUCUUUCUACCCUUCAGACCCUGUUGGUUUCCCGUCUCUCGAGCGAGAGAACGCUGCUUCCUCUGCGGAUCUAAGAUCCAGGCCCGGCCCCCUCCUCUGCUACGGUGCUGCUCCUCGAGGCCUGGAACGGUUUGCCCGGUUCCUGGUUGGGAACUCUCGGCAACGACUGACAGGCGGCGCUGGUCUCCACGCUAGACUCGGGCACGCGUGGGCAGAGCGCUCGAAGGUGGUGGCCACUCAUUCCCCGCGGAUCCGAUUCCCUAGAGCAUGGUCUACACUCAUCCCUAAAAUGGAAAGCUCUCCGCGUUCUAUGGAGGUAGCUGAGCUUUUUGUUUUCAAGUCAGGUGAUACUAAUUUCCAGAAUUGUUGCUUUGUAGAGUGCAAAAUCAUGUUCAAAGAGCCCACAACGAUCUGCUGUCUCAGGGCUGGCUCCGUGGCUUAGCUGGUUAAAGCGCCUGUCUAGUAAACAGGAGAUCCUGGGUUCAAAUCCCAGCGGGGCCUGUAGGGUGGUAGUCUGGUGUCCCUUUUGAAAUUCUGUCUGGUGCAACGUGUCAGCCCUGAUGAAAUCUGUCUUGCUGUUUGAGAACAAGGAAUGGAAAAAGAACAGCUUUAGAAAUAGACCCUUUCAGGUGUUUCACUAUUGAAAAGAAAUCAUUUCUGCUACCUCACCAGCUGCAACGCAUUUGGAAUAAAGUUGGCACUUAAUGUUUUUAUCAUGGACCAGCAAAUGGAUAACUGGUGGUUUCUAAUUUUCAUUGCCUUGUACACGUAUACUUCUAUCAAUAGCUUUGAGGAACGAUGCACAGUGCCUAGAAAAAGUUAAAAAGAAAGGACUAGGAUUGGGAAGUUUGAAGUCAGAAAUGAUGUUUUGUAUUUUGCUGUUAGCACAUGUUUUAUCUUCUGUUUCUUUGGACAUUCUAAGGUAUAUCUUCAAAUUAUGUGUCAGACACACAACACUCACUGUACCGUCACAAUGAUGCGUACAAAAUUUUUCAAGCAAUGGAUUGCAUCUCAAACAGCUUCUUGCUCCUUACCAUAAUCGCUCAACAGAUUGCUCAGUCUCUGUUGAGCAUGUGGGAGGUCGGGGCGCUGGAUAUAAUGUAACAUAAUGUAAUGUAAUAGAAUAUAAUGUAGUAACAUCACUCAGCCCCGAACUACUAGGUGAUGAAGGUGCUUUCCUUUAUCAAACAAUUUUCAAACAAAGCCUAGACUUCUACCGUUGUGUCUUUGGUUAAAGGACUUCUCCAUAAUCAAAUACUAUUUCUUUCCCGACUUACAUAUUGUUUAUUCAAACAGAGCCUGGUUUCUCAGGGACCACAUGCCAUUUGGGCUGUGGUCCCCAGGCAGUGAGGUGCUUUUUGUGAUUUAAAGUGGGCCUAGAGUCACCUGAGGCUAGUUAUGUGGUUCUUUCUCCUUCAGGCCCAAGUAUUAAUUCCAAAUAUUGGCACUGGAUAAACUUGGGUGAGAUGAUUUUGAUGUCCCUAAAAAAGUGAACAGUAAGGCACAGCUAUGAGGGAAAAUGUUGAGGAGAGAGAAAUGGUGGUAAUACUUGGAGGUAUUUUCACCUGUGUUCAGGCAAGGAGCCUUAGGUGAGUGAGGUGAACUUGGCAACAAAGCUACAGAAAGCUGCAAACGCUCCCACUCGGCAGGCUGUGGAGGUCUCCCGGCACCUCUGUCCCCGCUCCCUGCCCUGCUUCCUCCUUGGCUCUGAGACUGCGGCCAAAGCUGUCACCCCAUUUGCACACGGGCAUCGCUCAAAGCUGGGCAUCCCCCAUUGCACAGACAGCUCAGUCCACAGUGAACCGUGACCACAUGAGGAAGAUGACAGUCCCAGGACUGGUAAGGAAGGAGUUGAUCCUUCCAGCACCUCUCAGAAUUUCUUCAUCCAGCGUAUGGCCCUUGGCAGCCUGUCUGGAGCUGACACCCUCCCAACCGUGUCUACAUGAAGUCUCUGCCAAGCCUCAAACUCAUAUUUCUGUUUCUGCCAGCGACCCCUGUAGUCAGGUUCCAGUCCCCACCUGCCCAACGUGUGAUGCAGGCCUGAGAAAAAGAAUACACUGAGAGACAGAACUAGGAGAGAGAAAGCGGGCGCCAGGACGACCGGUGCCGGUCGCGACCGACAAAGGCCCUGGCCAGUCCCAGGCACUGACUUUCAUUGGCAAUCAAUUGGGGUAAAGGUGAGCUACGUGCAGUUUCUGUGGAAAUUAAUGUAAACAAGGCUCCUAAAGGACAAGACAAAGCAUCCUCAAAUUAGCAACCGAAUAGACAAAAUGUAUGGCUGUAAUUAGAACACUGUCCUCCUAGUCUGAAGGUUUUAGUUGUGGGAACAGAAUUUGGGUUCGAGUUACUCUGCCCUCGGCAGGACCUUGCAAGGCAGGCAUGGUACCAGGGUCACUUCUACAAACACGUGAAUUGUGAGGCUAGGUCUUCACAGCCUGCCUGGGGCAUGGCCAGUGUUAGGGUCCUCUGCACGCUUGCGCUUGGGUUUCCUGCAGGCAUCCCUACCAAGGCCCACCGCAGACUGAACUCCAACAUUCCGGUCAGAAACUGGGUUGCACUGGUCUCCUCCAUGUCUGCCCCUGGGAUCCUGCAGUCUGCUGGUCUCCCUGCAGCCUGUGUGUGGGCCUCUCCCCAUCCUUCUCUUCUCCCUAUUUGGGCCAUCAGCAUUCAUCACGGCAACCUCACAACAACCUGCUGCUGUUCCUGCCGCCUGCAAGAGUGGGAGUCUCCAUCCACCUCAGAUCCACGGAGGCUGACUUCACCUACAGAACAUCAUUUGUGUGCAUUCCCAUCGCACUUUUACUUCACUUGGGGUUUAUUUAGAAAUGUAGUGUUUAUCCUUCCAAAACCUGAGAAUGUUUUACCUGUCUUUGUGUUAUUGACUUCCACUUUGUGUUGUCAGAAAUCAUAUUUUGUAAUGAUUUUAAUCCUUUAAAAUUUAUCGAGACUUGUGUUAUAGCCCUAUUUUGGUGAAUUCUCCACACACAUUUGAAAAUAAUGUGUAUUCUGCAGCAUUUGGAUGUGAAUAUAAAUGCCACCUAGGUCAGAUUGGUGGUUAAUAGCCAUGCUUCGAGUUUACUAUAUUCCUAGUUGUUUCCUCUUUCGGCUGCUCAUCAGCUAGUCAGAGGUGUCUAAAAUCGCCAACCAUGAUGCUGGUGAUUCUUAUUCUUGGUUUUAAUUUUCUUCAUAUAAGAAUGAAUGUCUUCCUGUGGAAUUGGUCAUUUCAUCAUUAUGUAAUGCUCCUCCUCGUCUGGGGUCUUGCGUUUUGCCUGGACUUCUACUCGGAUAUAUCAAUGUAUCUCUGCCAGCUUUCUCACCAGGGGUGUGCUCUUGGCAUGUCCUUGUCCAUCUCUGCUAUUUUUAGUGUGCCUCUGGAAGAAAAACAGUGGCCCUGUUUCUUUUUAUUUCACUUACUGUCUAGCCUGACAAUCUCUGCCUUUUAAUGGCUUAACACAUUUACGUUGGACACACUUAUUUAUGAUUGGAUUUAAGCCCAGCGGUGUAUCUGUUCUUCCUUGCUUUGUUUGUCCCUGAAGGAACUUACCUGUUUCUUUUGUUCCUUCACCCCUCCUUUGAAUUAAUAUUUAUUAGUCAAUUUUAAUUUUUCACUACCUAAAAUGUAAUAUCUUUCCUCGGCAGUUGCUUUUAAAAUGUUUUUCUUUAUCUUCGGCUUCAACCAUACCGAUGUAGUUUCGAGUAGUUGUAAUUUUCUUUGUGUUUCUCUUAGCUGGUGUUUGCUGAGGGAGUUGAUUCUUCCUUCCCCAUGGGUCCGCACGUGUCAGGUUGUGUAUCUUAAUGCAGGUCAAUCACUGCUGACUGAAGGCUAAUGCCCAACCUCUCCAGUUUCUGCCCAGCCCUGGAGCUCGCAUUUACCGCCCUGACCUCAGGUCUCUGGAUCCUCCACUCCCUUGUUUCCGCUCCAACCCCUCUCCGACCUUCCUCCUUGCAUCCAUCCAGGCUCGGCGCAGUCUCUUUCCUCCCGGAAGGCUUCCUCCUCGGGGACCGGGAGUCUCCAAAGGCGCUCUGCACCCUGGACAACAGCACCACAGGCAUAUUUUUCUGAAGGAAAAAGUAAAUUAGUUUCUCCGCCAUUGACGUCAAAGAAAAUUUAUUUCUAUCAUGAGAGGGAAGCAGACCUGCUAGGUGGUUUCCGUGGUGUAGUGGUUAUCACGUUCGCCUAACACGCGAAAGGUCCCCGGUUCGAAACCGGGCGGAAACACUCUGCCGGAGGUUUUUGCUCCAUCUGAGACUCUCGUGGCGAUGUCCGCGUCCUGUAACCGGACUUGCCUGCGCCUUUUAGGAGUUUGAAGCGGGGACUGUCCCGGCGUCGCGGCACGGAGAUCUGUGUGAUGUCCCCAGACCCGUCCUCGUGGUCCGCACCCCGGGACCUGCUCCUGAAUUACACAAGAGGCCAGCUGGGGUCUGGAAGGGUCCGCCGGCUGACGGGCUGUCUGGCCGAGGGAUGGCUCAGCGCCGGCGGUCGCAGCGGCCCUGAAGUGAGCCGCGGGACGGGCUCGGACCCCACGCCGCGAGUCCAGCCGCGCUCGGGUCGGAGGCCCUGUCACCUCCUCACCCCACUCGGGGACGUGGUCUUUCUCCAGAGCCAGCACCAAGCGAUCGCAGGGUGACAGCCUGGGCCUCAGGAUGGGACCCAAAAUGCAGACGUGCCCAAGGUCAGCUUCACCACUAGCGGCUAAAAACUCACGACCCUCGGAGAGAGAGCGAACCCUCCAGAACCGAUUCAAGGAAGCCGGAUGACGUCCGCAGGGGUGAAGUCGCACUGACCUCAGAGUCGGGGUGUCGGAGCAGGACUGGGGGCAGAAGAGCACGUCUGCACCUCACGCUCCGCAGGAUUUACAUGCCGCAACGCCCAUCACACACAACCGCCUGAAGCGUGCAGGGCGUGAGCUCCCAGCUCCCAGCCUCGGUCUCUGCCGCCUGUGCCCCAGGAUGGAGCUCGGGUCUGGGGUCUGCACCGUCCCCCUCUCCCCAAGAGGCUUUGCAAAUAAGGUCCCUCCUGGCUGGGAAGCCUGGUGCUUCCUUCUUCUGGUUGUCUCUUCUCUCGAUUCUUCUCAGCCAAACUACUCUUUCUUCAGGAAAGGCCUCCUGGCUCCCUACGCGGACCCCUUUGUUCCUUCCCUUGGGACACCGGGUGGGGACUGGAUGAAGUCUGUCCGAAGGUGCCCGGGCUGGCACUGUCUGUGCUCGGUCACCAGCGCACACACUGCACCUUGCACAACACCUCACAUGCAACAGGCCCCCGUGGAUCCUGGUAAACGCAGGUCUAAGCCCUGAGCUGAAGCUCCUCACCGGGUGAGCAGCAGGAAGUGCCCGAGGUCCAGACGGAAGUACUCCUGGCUGUUGUUCUUUAGUACCCUACUGGACUGAUGCUGUUGAAUUCUCAAAUUCCCAAACGUCUUACCUUUGCAAUUCCCAUUUCAUGCAUUUUAAAUUAAUAAUGGGAAAUAAAUCACUAGAACAACAGUAACAGCUGCCAUUUGCUUCUAGCUUGAUUAAAUCAAGUGUUUAGCAAUUUUUCAAACAUAAGCUAACAAAGCAAGCCAGGAGUCAGUGCUGUUGUUGUUCAGUCAUUUAUCUACUGUACCGACUCAGAGGCUGAGCAGUGGAGGCCUCAUGACCUGAACGAGCUGAGAGCUCUCAAGCUAUAGGAUUUGCAGCAAGUACUUGUACUCCCAUGUGUCAGAGCUGAAGGGUCUGCUAGUGCAGUUUUCUGGGACAGAAGGGACAGACACAGGGGUGUGAAGGUGACUUCACAGUGGAGGGAGAGGCAGAG
This 6760-nucleotide transfer RNA is filed under the name Heterocephalus glaber (naked mole-rat). RNAcentral describes it as "lncRNA (ENSHGLG00000045453.1)". The stretch from base 1394 to 1467 matches the Rfam family "tRNA". The record is from RNAcentral. Lineage: Eukaryota; Metazoa; Chordata; Mammalia; Rodentia; Bathyergidae.